AGGUAACCUACCCUCAGGACUGAGAUAACCCCGGGAAACUGGGGCUAAUAUUAGAUAGAUAAAAGAUACUGGAAUGUUCUUUUAUCCAAAGCUUUUGCGCCUGAGGAUGGGCCUGCGUCCGAUAGGUUGUUGGUGGGGUAAUGGCCCACCAAGCCUACGAUCGGUACGGGCAGUGGGAGCUGAAGCCCGGAGUUGGGGACUGAGACAAGGCCCCAGGCCCUACGGGGCGCAGCAGGCGCGAAACCUCUGCAAUGCGGGAAACCGUGACAGGGGGAUCCCAAGUGCUCAUGCAUUGCAUGGGCUGUUCUUUGGUCUAAGUAACCAGAGGAGUAAGGGCUGGGCAAGACCGGUGCCAGCCGCCGCGGUAAUACCGGCAGCUCAAGUGGUAGCCGCGAUUAUUGGGCCUAAAACGUUCGUAGCCGGAUAAGUAAGUCUUUGGUUAAAUCCUGCGACUUAACCGUGGGAAAUCUAGAGAUACUGCUUGUCUUGAGACCGGGAGAGGUUGGAGGUACUCCUAGGGUAGGGGUGAAAUUCUGUAAUCCUAGGGGGACCACCUGUGGCGAAGGCGUCCAACUGGAACGGGUCUGACGGUGAGGGACGAAACCUAGGGGAGCGAGCCGGAUUAGAUACCCGGGUAGUCCUAGGCGUAAAUGAUGCGAGUUAAGUGUGGGGGCAUCUACGAGAUGGCCCUGUGCUGUAGGGUAGCCGUUA
Molecule: ribosomal RNA, 711 nt
Filed under: uncultured archaeon
Lineage: Archaea
Description: bacterial SSU rRNA
Rfam family: Archaeal small subunit ribosomal RNA
Source: RNAcentral